GGGGUUGUUUAGUUUCGACAGGUUGUACUUUUCAAAAUAUGCAAGCCGACCAUUGCCGUAAUGUCGCCAAACUUUCGGCAAAGAUAUAAGUGCAAACUUCAUAUCAAAAGCAAAAGCGGUUUUCGCAAGAGGAUUUGCUUUUGCUCCAGCUUUAGCUUAAUUUAACAGCUUUAGCCAUCGGACUGCCGAUUUCUCAUAAGCAAUCUCCGGUGUCAAUCAUGAGGAUAGUUUGAUGCGGUUUUCCGGCUGCAUCAAGUGAAAUUCUUCCGGAAACUGCGCAUGUCGGGUUUUGUUUAUUUCAUACCGCAUGCGCCGAUCUCCGAUUUUUUCGGAGGGAAAUAAAACAAGCUUGUAGAAUAUUUUGGAUUGUCAAUUUUGGACAUGGGUGCGAUUCCCAUCAACUCCACUG
This 409-nucleotide transfer-messenger RNA is filed under the name Candidatus Moraniibacteriota bacterium. It matches the Rfam family "transfer-messenger RNA". Rfam says of the family: Bacterial tmRNA, also known as 10Sa RNA or SsrA, is named for its dual tRNA and mRNA-like properties. Its role is to liberate the mRNA from a stalled ribosome. Lineage: Bacteria; Candidatus Moraniibacteriota. RNAcentral also lists the same sequence under 2 other names. The record is from RNAcentral.